GGUGGCCCUGCCGGUCCCUCGCAACGCUAGAUCGAAAACCCCGCCAGGGCCGGAAGGCAGCAACGGUAUUGAUUGAUGCGGGUGCCGAGAUCAACCGGUGGGGCCAUC
Molecule: signal recognition particle RNA, 108 nt
Filed under: Xylella fastidiosa 9a5c
Lineage: Bacteria; Pseudomonadati; Pseudomonadota; Gammaproteobacteria; Lysobacterales; Lysobacteraceae
Also listed under: 3 other names
Rfam family: Bacterial small signal recognition particle RNA (bases 8-104)
About the family: The signal recognition particle (SRP) is a universally conserved ribonucleoprotein involved in the co-translational targeting of proteins to membranes. Archaeal SRP consists of a 7S RNA and homologues of the eukaryotic SRP19 and SRP54 proteins. In most bacteria, the SRP consists of a 4.5S RNA and the Ffh protein (a homologue of the eukaryotic SRP54 protein).
Source: RNAcentral